This 233-nucleotide long non-coding RNA is filed under the name Olea europaea (common olive). Its description in RNAcentral is "long non-coding RNA (OEUR_LNC013866)". The record is from RNAcentral. Lineage: Eukaryota; Viridiplantae; Streptophyta; Magnoliopsida; Lamiales; Oleaceae.
GAGUCCUGUUUCAACUAUAAUAAGAGACUUUUUGGUAGUGCAUACAAUUGAAAAUAAAAUUUCAUUACAUAUCUUUUAAUCCAUACGAAAUAGAAAUUGUCAUCAAUAAAUAAAGUUGCACUAAAAUACGCAAAUUAAUCAACUGUGCUAUCUUGUGGCAUCAAUAACACCAUCCUUCAUCAAGUCGGAACAUAUAAGUUCCAGCAACAUAGAAAAAACGUUACAUGAUAUCC